This 459-nucleotide ribosomal RNA is filed under the name uncultured bacterium. RNAcentral describes it as "partial 16S ribosomal RNA". It matches the Rfam family "Bacterial small subunit ribosomal RNA", at positions 338 to 795 of the family's 1533-position model. The record is from RNAcentral.
CCUACGGGAGGCAGCAGUGAGGAAUAUUGGUCAAUGGUCGGGAGACUGAACCAGCCAAGCCGCGUGAGGGAGGAAGGUACAGAGUAUCGUAAACCUCUUUUGUCAGGGAACAAAGGCGGGGACGUGUCCCCGGAUGAGUGUACCUGAAGAAAAAGCAUCGGCUAACUCCGUGCCAGCAGCCGCGGUAAUACGGAGGAUGCGAGCGUUAUCCGGAUUUAUUGGGUUUAAAGGGUGCGCGGGCGGUCUGUUAAGUCAGCGGUAAAAGCCCGGGGCUCAACCCCGGCCCGCCGUUGAAACUGGCAGUCUCGAGUUGGAGAGAAGUAUGCGGAAUGCGCGGUGUAGCGGUGAAAUGCAUAGAUAUCGCGAAGAACUCCGAUUGCGAAGGCAGCAUGCCGGCUCCACACUGACGCUGAGGCACGAAAGCGUGGGUAUCGAACAGGAGUAGAUACCCCGGUAGUC